CUCCCCCCGGCGCCCGAGCCGGUGGCCGCUCGGCCCUGCGGACCGCGGGGGCCGCUGGGAAAGCGAGUCCUCCGCCUGCGCCAGGCGUGGCCGCCAUGGUGACGGUGACUGUGGGCAUACUGAGUCUUUUCCGGGGCCUCGCUGCCGCUUGCGUCUGUUCUCACGCCACAUUCACUUUCUCCUCGCUACGUCCAGCCCGUUUUUAAUGCCUGAGGGAGGGGGCGUGGAAAGAGCGGAAAUAAGGAGACAUUUCCACGGGAACUUUACAUGAGCAUCUGACCAACAUCAUGGAAUCCACAAUCUCGGUAUUCCCAUCCAGAACCUGCUUCCACGCUGUGUGAGAGCCAUGGCUUACGUUAGUCAACAGCUGGAUGACCCACCUAGGCCAAGCUGGGUACUAUGACAAUGCUUUCUGUUUCUCAGUGAAUGGUUAAAUUAAUCUUUUUAAAAUGCCUUUCAAGUUGUGAAUGAAAUGCAAAAGUUGUCAGGAUCAAAAUGGAGUCGCAUAAGGGGAAGCUGACCCAGCAGGGAAAAGCGCUUGCCACCAAGCCUGGCAACCUGAGUUCAGCCCCUGGGACUCAUACAGCGAAAGGAGGGGACUGAAGUUUGUCCCCUGACCUCCACAUGGGUGCCCUGGAUUGUACACAGAUAAAUAAAAUGGGGUCUCAUGUCAACCCUACAAAAAGCAAAAUGAACAAAACCAGGUCGUGAAGGAAGGAUUCAAUACCCAUGGAUUGUCUAGUAAUUGUCACAAAGUAUUCUGACAUAUUCCAAGAUUUGCACAAAGGAAUAUGCAGCCUUCUGGAAAAAUAAUAAUACAGCCCCACUGUGGCCAAGAAAAAUGGUUUCACAAAACUAAUGUAACCCUCUCUAUUUGUACCUUUAAAACCUUUCUUCUAGCCGGGUGGUGGUGGUGCACACCUUUAAUCCCAGCAAUUGGGAGGCAGAGGCAGGUGGAUCUCUGUGAAUUUAAGGCCAGCCUGGUCUAUAGAUUGAGUUCCAGGACAGCCAAGGCUACAAAGAGAAACCCUGUCUCAAAAACAAAAAGCAAGCAAGCAAACAAACAAACAAAAAAAAAACCUUCCUUUUGCCUGAAUUUUUUUUAUGCAUGCUGGGGUUUACAUGACUGUUACCUGUGUGUCUAUCGCCAAAAUAGUACUCUUUGAAAAAUCUCUCACUUUGGUUUUAAUUUGGCUUGACAAAAUUGUUGUUACCCUUGUGCUGAGGGAUUAUUAAUGACUUUUUAUGUCCUUAUCCAUUUCAUUAUUUUAUAAUAUUCAACAGCAAAUGACAGAAGAAGGUUCAGGACUUUCCAUCACCUACUUAACAUGACCAAUGGCUGGCUGGCUGCAGUCUCUCCCUAUCUCUCUCCUCCACAUACCUCCCCCUGCCCCAGCUUCAAUAAAUGUUCUGUUGUGAUUGGCCUAACAUGUGCUCAGAGACAUCUCUUCCUGGAACUGCUCCGGAGACUGCCAGGAAUGAUCAAAAAACAUCCUUUAUCCAAAGAGCACACACAGUCUUGCUUUUAAAGUUAAAUAAUAAUAAAGGUACCAGGUUUCUUUGUAAUA
This is a long non-coding RNA of Mesocricetus auratus (golden hamster), 1568 nucleotides long. RefSeq lists it as uncharacterized. The transcript has 2 exons. The record is from RefSeq and is a predicted model, not a curated record. NCBI's taxonomy places the organism in Eukaryota, Metazoa, Chordata, Mammalia, Rodentia, Cricetidae.